Molecule: long non-coding RNA, 317 nt
Filed under: Elaeis guineensis (African oil palm)
Lineage: Eukaryota; Viridiplantae; Streptophyta; Magnoliopsida; Arecales; Arecaceae
Description: long non-coding RNA (EGUI_LNC042506)
Source: RNAcentral
GGGGUAAAACUAUUGUUCAUGGAAAGGACGAUGCUGUAAAUCAAUUGAUCUGGGAAUCCAAGGCUGGAAGAGGUGACAAGCAGAAGGGGACGGUAACUAUUAUUAUGAUUUGAGGACGAGUCCGUGAACCAUUAAGGGUGUUUGGUACCCAAUUAUAGCUAUGUUGGUGCAAGCCUAGACCACGGUGUCCAUGGUUUCGAGCGCCACGGCGGGAAUUGCCUUUUUCUUUUUUUUCUUUUUGGUUUUAAGUAAAUAGAGAAAUUGUAUGGCAAUCCAGGGGACUUGCAUGUCUGGCCUGAUUGUACUUUGUUAGCCAG